This 514-nucleotide ribosomal RNA is filed under the name uncultured Glomus. RNAcentral's name for it is "SSU rRNA". It matches the Rfam family "Eukaryotic small subunit ribosomal RNA", at positions 569 to 1084 of the family's 1831-position model. Lineage: Eukaryota; Fungi; Glomeromycota; Glomeromycetes; Glomerales; Glomeraceae. The record is from RNAcentral.
AGCAGCCGCGGUAAUUCCAGCUCCAAUAGCGUAUAUUAAAGUUGUUGCAGUUAAAAAGCUCGUAGUUGAAUUUCGGGAUCAAGGAAUCGGUCAUGCCUUGGUAUGUACUGGUUUUAUUGGUUCUCACCUUCUAAAGAACCAUAAUGUCAUUUAUUUGAUGUUAUGGGGAAUUAGGACUGUUACCUUGAAAAAAUUAGAGUGUUUAAAGCAAGCUUACGCUUGAAUACAUUAGCAUGGAAUAAUGAAAUAGGACAUCAGAUUCUAUUUUGUUGGUUUCUAGGAUCGAUGUAAUGAUUAAUAGGGAUAGUUGGGGGCAUUAGUAUUCAAUUGUCAGAGGUGAAAUUCUUGGAUUUAUUGAAGACUAACUACUGCGAAAGCAUUUGCCAAGGAUGUUUUCAUUAAUCAAGAACGAAAGUUAGGGGAUCGAAGACGAUCAGAUACCGUCGUAGUCUUAACCAUAAACUAUGCCGACUAGGGAUCGGAUGAUGUUAAUUUUAUAAUUGACUCAUUCGGA